This 481-nucleotide long non-coding RNA is filed under the name Bemisia tabaci. Its description in RNAcentral is "lncRNA ENSSSA2NGG004080". Lineage: Eukaryota; Metazoa; Arthropoda; Insecta; Hemiptera; Aleyrodidae. The record is from RNAcentral.
AGGUUACCCCACAGGGCAACUGAAUCGUCUGCUGUCUAGGGAAAAUCAAUCUGAUUUCCACUUCUUCAAAGAAUUAAUACCUUGCGUUUUUUUCUUUGGUUUCAGGAUCAAUCUUAAGAUUUGGAGAAAAAAAGCGAUGGGGUGUCUAAGGAGAUGAAAUCUCAUUAUGAGACGUCUGCGGCGUUGCUGCUCUUGAAGUGCAUUAUCCUAAUGGCAGUGGACGCCGUAAAUCCAGGUUGCGACUGUCUGGUUUUCUCGGCCACAUAUGGGAAAGAAUACGGUGUUUUCAGCAGUCAAGAUUACCCAAAACCGUACCCCUCACAUGUUGACUGCCUUUUAUACACCUUCGUCGCUCACAAAGACGAGAUAGUUGAAAUAACUUUCAAGGAUUUGACAUCUACAAAUCUCAUCUUGAGUGAGUACCCUCUGCAAUACACUCAGAACUUUUCCUUCAAAUGAAGCAUUCUUUUUAAUAACACAC